This 206-nucleotide long non-coding RNA is filed under the name Elaeis guineensis (African oil palm). RNAcentral's name for it is "long non-coding RNA (EGUI_LNC051605)". The record is from RNAcentral. Lineage: Eukaryota; Viridiplantae; Streptophyta; Magnoliopsida; Arecales; Arecaceae.
GGGCGUCUCUCCUUGCUCAUGUGAGGUGUCACACCAGCACCUCUCCUUCCUCGUUUAGUUGGGUUGCAAAGGUAAUUUGAUCGGAGUUCAUCCUACUUUUCUGUGUUAUCUAACGUGCAUGUGAAGUAGAGAAUCUGCACUUUCAGACCUCUACGAAGGUUGAUUCCAGAUUUUUAGAGAUUUGAUCUUCAAUUCCGCUACUAUCU